CGUGAUUUUCAGAACGAAACAAUUUUACCUGGUCGCAAUUUGUAAUGAAAUUUAAACUCAAAUAAAAUUAUCCGGAAAUAGAAAUAAAAAAUACAUCUGAAAAAAAAGUAUCGUUUUCUCUAUAAAUCAUUAAAUAAAUACAAAAUCAAAGGCUGACGUUAAUGUAUCAUACUGCGAAGCACUCCAUAUAAACUUAUAAGCAUCAAAGUUCCAGACUAAAUGAUUUGUGAAAUACGCAUCGUGUGUGUUGAUAUUGGUCUUAUAUUACACUGAAAUUGUCUUAUUUCUUUAGAGAGUGCUUUUGAUAAUGAUAAAAUUGAUAAUUACUUAAAAUUUGAAUUUUGAGUUAGAGAAUUAAAAAAAAAAAACCCAAAAAAAACAAUUCACAAAAUAGUUACCCGGUAGAAAAUAGUCAACUACUGCAGUUGUAAUAGUGUCAUAUUUUUUUCUGUCUAUGUACAGAUGACGCAUAAUGUUGAUUUUAACUCUUGCACUGUCGGUCUUAAAUUCGAAUAAACCAAUAAACAAAAAUUGAAUCAUAUCAAAAAAUGAAAUCUCAAACCAUAGACAUUCUUUUGAAUUCGUGCUAUACAUAUAUCUUUUAUAUUAUGUCAUAUUUAUUAUUUGAUGGCUAGUCAAUACCCCAGUUGAAUAUUCAGCUGUUACAUGACAUAUAUGACAAAACGAGAAUUUCUUUAGUUCAAGCUUCUUCCACAAAGUAUCACUACAUUCUACAAGUAUUCCAUCUCCGUUUAAACACGUACAUCAUCAAAACAAAUUACAGACCUUUAAAGGAUUUGGAACAGCUGAAUCGCAAAAUGUCAAAUGUAAAACAUCAAAAUGACAUUAUAUUGGCAAAACAAAGUGAAUUCCUGCAAAAUUGAAAUUAUACCAAAUUCUUAUGAAAUAAUGCGUACAUUUGUAUUGGCAAAGCAAAUUCCUGCAAAAUUGGAGUUAAUGCUUAUGAAAUAACGCGUACAUUUUUUGUGGAAGAGACAACUGAGACGAACAAAAUAGUAC
RNAcentral lists this long non-coding RNA (1020 nucleotides) under Mytilus galloprovincialis (Mediterranean mussel). The record is from RNAcentral. Lineage: Eukaryota; Metazoa; Mollusca; Bivalvia; Mytilida; Mytilidae.